CACAUCGGCGACUACAUCCCGUUUCUCAAGUGGUUCGACUCGAGCGUCGCCAAGAUGAAAGCCCUGCACAAGAUCCAGGACGAGUUCCUGCAAAAAGUGGUCGAUCAGCACGUCCUUGCGAGGCAAAGCAGAGAACAAACUCAAGCUCACGAUGGAGAUGGAGAUUUCGUCGACACACUCUUGUCUCUAGACUCUCCAGAUCCAAACAAUCAAGCUAGAAACAUCAAGGCACUCAUCCAGGUACUCUAAAAGAAGAAAGAAAGAAAAAAUCCAUACCUCAGAAGUUCGUCCAUGUUGUGUUCUUACUAUUUCUUCUCGUCUAGAAUCUCUUGGGAGCUGGAACAGACACCUCCAUUACCACGAUCCAAUGGGCAAUGGCGGAGCUGCUAAACAAUCCCAGAGCCCUGGAGAAAGCACAGGAAGAAUUACGCGCGAAAUUCGGCAAUGCCCGCCAAGAAAUCAUCCAAGAACACGAGCUACAAGAUCUACCAUACCUCCACGCAGUGAUCAAGGAGACCUUCCGCCUCCAUCCGCCAGCGCCGCUCCUCAUCCCCCACCAAUCCACCCAAGAC
RNAcentral lists this long non-coding RNA (572 nucleotides) under Selaginella moellendorffii. RNAcentral's name for it is "long non-coding RNA (SMOE_LNC000158)". Lineage: Eukaryota; Viridiplantae; Streptophyta; Lycopodiopsida; Selaginellales; Selaginellaceae. The record is from RNAcentral.